GACGAACGCUGGCGGCGUGCUUAACACAUGCAAGUCGAACGGAAAGGCCCUGCUUUUGUGGGGUGCUCGAUUGGCGAACGGGUGAGUAACACGUGAGUAACCUGCCCUUGACUUUGGGAUAACUUCAGGAAACUGGGGCUAAUACCGGAUAGGAUCUCCUGCUGCAUGGUGGGGGUUGGAAAGUUUCGGCGGUUGGGGAUGGACUCGCGGCUUAUCAGCUUGUUUGUGGGGUAGUGGCUUACCAAGGGUUUGACGGGUAGCCGGCCUGAGAGGGUGACCGGCCACAUUGGGACUGAGAUACGGCCCAGAAUCCUACGGGAGGCAGCAGUGGGGAAUAUUGCACAAUGGGCGGAAGCCUGAUGCAGCAACGCCGCGUGCGGGAUGACGGCCUUCGGGUUGUAAACCGAUUUCGACUGUGACGAAGCGUGAGUGACGGUAAUGGGUAAAGAAGCACCGGCUAACUACGUG
RNAcentral lists this ribosomal RNA (468 nucleotides) under uncultured bacterium. Its description in RNAcentral is "partial 16S ribosomal RNA". It matches the Rfam family "Bacterial small subunit ribosomal RNA", at positions 28 to 507 of the family's 1533-position model. The record is from RNAcentral.